This 871-nucleotide ribosomal RNA is filed under the name uncultured Bacteroidota bacterium. RNAcentral describes it as "bacterial SSU rRNA". It matches the Rfam family "Bacterial small subunit ribosomal RNA", at positions 56 to 917 of the family's 1533-position model. The record is from RNAcentral. Lineage: Bacteria; Pseudomonadati; Bacteroidota.
UGCAAGUCGAGGGGAAACGACAUAGUUAGCUUGCUAACUUUGGGCGUCGACCGGCGCACGGGUGAGUAACGCGUAUCCAACCUGCCCACCACUUGGGAAUAACCUUGCGAAAGUAAGACUAAUGCCCAAUGACGUUGAAAGAAGACAUCUGAUUUCAACUAAAGAUUCAUCGGUGAUGGAUGGGGAUGCGUCCGAUUAGCUUGUUGGCGGGGUAACGGCCCACCAAGGCAACGAUCGGUAGGGGUUCUGAGGGGAAGGUCCCCCACAUUGGAACUGAGACACGGUCCAAACUCCUACGGGAGGCAGCAGUGAGGAAUAUUGGUCAAUGGGCGAGAGCCUGAACCAGCCAAGUAGCGUGCAGGAUGACGGCCCUAUGGGUUGUAAACUGCUUUUAUAAGGGAAUAAAGUGGGGCUCGUGAGCUCCUUUGCAUGUACCUUAUGAAUAAGGACCGGCUAAUUCCGUGCCAGCAGCCGCGGUAAUACGGAAGGUCCGGGCGUUAUCCGGAUUUAUUGGGUUUAAAGGGAGCGUAGGCCGGAGAUUAAGCGUGUUGUGAAAUGUAGAUGCUCAACGUCUGCACUGCAGCGCGAACUGGUUUCCUUGAGUACGCACAAAGUGGGCGGAAUUCGUGGUGUAGCGGUGAAAUGCUUAGAUAUCACGAAGAACUCCGAUUGCGAAGGCAGCUCACUGGAGCGCAACUGACGCUGAAGCUCGAAAGUGCGGGUAUCGAACAGGAUUAGAUACCCUGGUAGUCCGCACGGUAAACGAUGGAUGCCCGCCGUUGGUCUGAAUAGGUCAGCGGCCAAGCGAAAGCAUUAAGCAUCCCACCUGGGGAGUACGUCGGCAACGGUGCAACUCAAAGGAAUUGACGGA